This 497-nucleotide ribosomal RNA is filed under the name uncultured bacterium. RNAcentral describes it as "partial 16S ribosomal RNA". It matches the Rfam family "Bacterial small subunit ribosomal RNA", at positions 28 to 507 of the family's 1533-position model. The record is from RNAcentral.
GAUGAACGCUGGCGGCGUGCCUAAUACAUGCAAGUCGAGCGAACAGACGAGGAGCUUGCUCCUCUGACGUUAGCGGCGGAAGGGUGAGUAACACGUGGAUAACCUACCUAUAAGACUGGGAUAACUUCGGGAAACCGGAGCUAAUACCGGAUAAUAUAUUGAACCGCAUGGUUCAAUAGUGAAAGACGGUUCUGCUGUCACUUAUCGAUGGAUCCGCGCGGCAUUAGCUAGUUGGUGAGGUAACGGCUUACCAAGGCAACGAUGCGUAGCCGACCUGGGAGGGUGACCCGACACACUAGAACGGAGACGCGGUCCAGACUCCUACGGGAGGCAGCAGUAGGGAAUCUUCCGCAAUGGGCGAAAGCCUAACGGAACAACGCCGCGUGAGUGAUGAAGGUCUUCGGAUCGUAAAACUCUGUUAUUAGGGAAGAACAAAUGUGUAAGUAACUAUGCACGUCUUGACGGUACCUAAUCAGAAAGCCACGGCUAACUACGUG